AUGUUAUAUUUCAUGUAUAUUUCAGCACUGAUAAAGUCAAUAACUAAACUGUUGUUUUAACAGAUUGGCGCUCUGAUAACUUUACACGGAUUAACUACAACUUCAGUUUUUAUUACAUUUCAUCUGAAUAUAAGAGCUGGAAUAACAGCAGACGAGACUGUGAACAGAGAGGAGCAAAUCUGGUGACUAUAAACAACAAAGAGGAACAAGAGUUUUUGCAGAAGGCUACAUCUGGUCAUUAUUAUUAUUGGAUUGGUCUGAGUAAAGAGGGAGAGGUGUGGAAAUGGGUUGAUGGCACCACAUUGACAUUAAGAUUGUGGAAAAAUGGAUACCCUGGAUUGGAAAAUCAUAUCUGUGCUGCUGCAACAGAUACAUCAGAAUGGAGUAAUUAUGACUGUAAAUCAAUGUACAGAUGUAUCUGUGAGAAGAGCAUCUUUAAACACCAGGACAAAAGUCUGUUUAGCAAUUUUGUUACAACAUGAAAAACACAAAU
Molecule: long non-coding RNA, 493 nt
Organism: Misgurnus anguillicaudatus (oriental weatherfish)
Lineage: Eukaryota; Metazoa; Chordata; Actinopteri; Cypriniformes; Cobitidae
Source: RefSeq, a predicted model, not a curated record